UAGUCAAUGUCAUUAUAUUCUUACUGUUAGCGUAGCGCGACGUAGCGCAGCGUUAUACUUUAGUUAUACUUUACCUAUAGUUUCUUUUCAGAUUUUAGCGUAAAACCCGCUCGAGUAGACAUACGUAUUACACACUGGUUGGAAGGAUAGACAUCCUUUACAGCGUUAUUUAUAGCAAUAUAUUCAUUGUUAUACGCCGAACAACUCGAAUUAUUACUUGUGUAGAUCAAAUUCCAAAACACGUCAAUCAAAAUCAUGAAAUUGUAUUCGUUAUUGGUCAUGGCUGUUCUUGUGGGAUUGGURACAUCAGAAUGUGGAAAAGAUGAGUACUACUCAAGUGAUAUUUGUAUGGAGCACUGUAGUUAUACGAUAUCGGCAGACGAUCGUUAUGUUAUAGGUACAUGUGUAAUAUCGUCUGAAUAUAAAGUUGGUAAAUCAUACCAAAAUUGUUGGAAAUGUACAAGUGAUCCUUUAAAAUGAUUCAUACAUUUCGAUUAGGAGUUUAUAUAGAAGCACCAAAAUUAGUGUUAUUUUAUUAGUUAAUAUUUUAUAGCAUUAUAUUUAUGUUAAAAUAUUGCACAAUUUCAGAAGUAAUAGUGAUCAAGUCUUAAUAGUAUGCUUAUUAAUUAUUAUGAUUUAUGAUAUUAUAUACACUAUACAGUAAAAUAAUUAAUAUAUAAUAUUAUAUAAACUAGAUUUAAAUAUGGUAUAUUUUGUGCAGAAAAUUGUUUAUUCCUCUAAAUUUAUACUGAUAUUAUAUCAGUGAUAUAUAUAUUAUGAUAAACAAAAUACAAAUUUAAAAAAAUUAUAUUGUAAUGAUAUAAAUUAAUGUUAUACUUACAAAUUUAGAAAUCAGGUAUGUUGUCUGCCUGUAAAAUAAAUCUCAUUAUGUAUAGUUUUGUUUGGUGAUAACUCAUUAUUGUUACAGAGUAUACAGAUCACAGAUUAGUACAAUCUACCAUAUUUAUUAUUUCAUCAAUUAAAGUUAAAGCCAAAGAAAUA
This is a long non-coding RNA of Diuraphis noxia (Russian wheat aphid), 1002 nucleotides long. RefSeq lists it as uncharacterized. NCBI's taxonomy places the organism in Eukaryota, Metazoa, Arthropoda, Insecta, Hemiptera, Aphididae. The record is from RefSeq and is a predicted model, not a curated record.